RNAcentral lists this ribosomal RNA (208 nucleotides) under uncultured bacterium. RNAcentral describes it as "partial 16S ribosomal RNA". It matches the Rfam family "Bacterial small subunit ribosomal RNA", at positions 568 to 774 of the family's 1533-position model. The record is from RNAcentral.
CACGUAGGCGGCCGGGUAAGUCUCACUGUGAAAGCCCGGGGCUCAACCCCGGGAGGCCAGGGGAUACUGCUCGGCUGGAGACAGGUAGAGGCUGGUAGAAUUCCGGGUGUAGCGGUGGAAUGCGUAGAGAUCCGGAGGAAUACCCGAGGCGAAGGCGGCCAGCUAGGCCUGAUCUGACGCUGAGGUGCGAAAGCGUGGGGAGCGAACA